UGCAGUCGAGCGGACAGAAGGGAGCUUGCUCCCGGAUGUUAGCGGCGGACGGGUGAGUAACACGUGGGUAACCUGCCUGUAAGACUGGGAUAACUCCGGGAAACCGGAGCUAAUACCGGAUAGUUCCUUGAACCGCAUGGUUCAAGGAUGAAAGACGGUUUCGGCUGUCACUUACAGAUGGACCCGCGGCGCAUUAGCUAGUUGGUGAGGUAACGGCUCACCAAGGCGACGAUGCGUAGCCGACCUGAGAGGGUGAUCGGCCACACUGGGACUGAGACACGGCCCAGACUCCUACGGGAGGCAGCAGUAGGGAAUCUUCCGCAAUGGACGAAAGUCUGACGGAGCAACGCCGCGUGAGUGAUGAAGGUUUUCGGAUCGUAAAGCUCUGUUGUUAGGGAAGAACAAGUGCAAGAGUAACUGCUUGCACCUUGACGGUACCUAACCAGAAAGCCACGGCUAACUACGUGCCAGCAGCCGCGGUAAUACGUAGGUGGCAAGCGUUGUCCGGAAUUAUUGGGCGUAAAGGGCUCGCAGGCGGUUUCUUAAGUCUGAUGUGAAAGCCCCCGGCUCAACCGGGGAGGGUCAUUGGAAACUGGGAAACUUGAGUGCAGAAGAGGAGAGUGGAAUUCC
This 630-nucleotide ribosomal RNA is filed under the name Bacillus altitudinis. RNAcentral's name for it is "bacterial SSU rRNA". It matches the Rfam family "Bacterial small subunit ribosomal RNA", at positions 56 to 670 of the family's 1533-position model. The record is from RNAcentral. Lineage: Bacteria; Bacillati; Bacillota; Bacilli; Caryophanales; Bacillaceae.